RNAcentral lists this ribosomal RNA (274 nucleotides) under uncultured bacterium. RNAcentral's name for it is "partial 16S ribosomal RNA". It matches the Rfam family "Bacterial small subunit ribosomal RNA", at positions 523 to 796 of the family's 1533-position model. The record is from RNAcentral.
AUACGGAGGGUGCAAGCGUUAAUCGGAAUUACUGGGCGUAAAGCGCGCGUAGGCGGCUUGGUAAGUCGGAUGUGAAAUCCCCGGGCUUAACCUGGGAAUUGCAUUCGAUACUGUCAGGCUAGAGUGUGGUAGAGGGAAGUGGAAUUUCCGGUGUAGCGGUGAAAUGCGUAGAUAUCGGAAGGAACACCAGUGGCGAAGGCGGCUUCCUGGACCAACACUGACGCAGAGGCGCGAAAGCGUGGGGAGCAAACAGGAUUAGAUACCCCAGUAGUCC